GGCGAACGGGUGCGUAACGCGUAUGCAACCUACCCUAUACAGGAGGAUAGCCCGGAGAAAUCUGGAUUAAUACCCCAUAGUAUCAUUGAGCUGCAUGGUUUAAUGAUUAAAGAUUCAUCGGUAUAGGAUGGGCAUGCGUCUGAUUAGCUAGUUGGCGGUGUAACGGACCACCAAGGCUACGAUCAGUAGGGGUUCUGAGAGGAAGGUCCCCCACACUGGCACUGAGAUACGGGCCAGACUCCUACGGGAGGCAGCAGUAGGGAAUAUUGGGCAAUGGACGAGAGUCUGACCCAGCCAUGCCGCGUGCAGGAAGACGGCGUUCUGCGUUGUAAACUGCUUUUAUCUGGGAAGAAAAUGCCCUUGCGAGGGAAAUUGCCGGUACCAGAUGAAUAAGCACCGGCUAACUCCGUGCCAGCAGCCGCGGUAAUACGGAGGGUGCAAGCGUUGUCCGGAUUUAUUGGGUUUAAAGGGUGCGUAGGCGGCUAUUUAAGUCAGUGGUGAAAGACUCCGGCUCAACCGGAGCAGUGCCAUUGAUACUGGAUAGCUUGAGUAUUGGAGGGGUACAUGGAAUUGAUGGUGUAGCGGUGAAAUGCAUAGAUACCAUCAGGAACACCGAUAGCGAAGGCAUUGUACUGGCCAAUAACUGACGCUGAUGCACGAAAGCAUGUGUAGCGAACAGGAUUAGAUACCCUGGUAGUCCAUGCCGUAAACGAUGAUUACUCGCUGUUAUGGCUUUAUGUUGUAGCGGCCAACCGAAAGCGUUAAGUAAUCCACCUGGGGAGUACGCUCGCAAGAGUGAAACUCAUAGGAAUUGACGGGGGUCCGC
This 826-nucleotide ribosomal RNA is filed under the name Algoriphagus yeomjeoni. Its description in RNAcentral is "bacterial SSU rRNA". It matches the Rfam family "Bacterial small subunit ribosomal RNA", at positions 97 to 924 of the family's 1533-position model. Lineage: Bacteria; Pseudomonadati; Bacteroidota; Cytophagia; Cytophagales; Cyclobacteriaceae. The record is from RNAcentral.